UUAAACUUGUAAAUCUAAAAAAGAAUCACAACUACAAACUCGUUCAUUAAAGACAUUUGACUGAAUAAUACAAAGGGGGAAGAACACUUAUAGUGGCUAUUACUCUUCUCUAGGUUAAAUUUUAAAAUAUAUAAAAAAAUAUUCUAAAAAUUAAAAAUAAACUACAUGUCUUUUCAUAUGUCAUUAUUGAGGAAAAGAUCAUGCAUAUCAUUCAUUGUAUUUUUAAAGUCAUUAUUAU
Molecule: long non-coding RNA, 238 nt
Filed under: Lathyrus oleraceus (garden pea)
Lineage: Eukaryota; Viridiplantae; Streptophyta; Magnoliopsida; Fabales; Fabaceae
Description: Pisum sativum (pea) long non-coding RNA (PSAT_LNC011430)
Source: RNAcentral